GGACUACCCGGGUAUCUAAUCCUGUUUGCUCCCCUUGCUCUCGCGCCUCAGCGUCAGGUCUUAGCUAGAAAACCGCUUUCGCCACUGGUGUUCUUCCACAUAUCUACGCAUUUCACCGCUACACGUGGAAUUCCAUUCUCUCCGCCAAUCCUCAAGAUAUUCAGUUUCACAUGCAGUUCCGAUUUUGAGCUCCGGAAUUUCACACAUGACUUUUACAUCCGCCUACGCGCCCUUUACGCCCAAUAAUUCCGAUUAAUGCUUGCACCCUCCGUAUUACCGCGGCUGCUGGCAC
This 292-nucleotide ribosomal RNA is filed under the name uncultured bacterium. RNAcentral describes it as "partial 16S ribosomal RNA". The record is from RNAcentral.